This 256-nucleotide ribosomal RNA is filed under the name Neobodo designis. RNAcentral describes it as "partial Bacterial small subunit ribosomal RNA". It matches the Rfam family "Bacterial small subunit ribosomal RNA", at positions 1174 to 1428 of the family's 1533-position model. Lineage: Eukaryota; Euglenozoa; Kinetoplastea; Neobodonida; Neobodonidae. The record is from RNAcentral.
AGGGGAUGACGUCAAGUCAUCAUGGCCCUUACGCCCAGGGCUACACACGUGCUACAAUGGAGAGUACAAAGGGUUGCUACCUGGUAACAGGAUGCCAAUCUCAAAAAGCUCUUCUCAGUUCGGAUUGAGGUCUGCAACUCGACCUCAUGAAGGUGGAAUCGCUAGUAAUCGCGCAUCAGCAAUGGCGCGGUGAAUACGUUCCCGGACCUUGUACACACCGCCCGUCAAGCCAUGGGAGUUGGGUGGACCUGAAGAU